RNAcentral lists this long non-coding RNA (2287 nucleotides) under Homo sapiens (human). Its description in RNAcentral is "HSALNT0313118". The record is from RNAcentral. Lineage: Eukaryota; Metazoa; Chordata; Mammalia; Primates; Hominidae.
GGAUAAGCUAUUUGGUGAUAGACACAGUACCUGGACCGGGCAGAGGAGUGGAAUCCAAAGAUAAAGUUAGGAGAACGUACUUCAAGGGGAAAUUUGUCCUUUCACUUGUGGUAUCAUAGUCUUUCAUGGAUCCCAUGCUGUUGUCUGUUUAUUUCUCCUUAAACAAGGAAAAAUAUACCCAGACCCAGUUUUCAUCAACAGACCAGCCCAUGGCAACCAUCACUCUACUUUCUGUCUCUAUGAAUUUGAAUACUCUGGGUAACCUCAUUCUGGGAUGAUAUGAAACCUUGCAGACGACAUGCAUGGAUCAACUCAUGAGACAGUAAAUCACUCAAAAUCUUACUACAAAAGACAACGUCCUUAUUUGCUUUUACAGAAAAAGGUAAAUCUUCCUUGACAUAUUCGGCAGAAUCUAUGAAGAAUUCAUUCAUUUAUUCUUGAAAUAAAUAUCAAGUAGAAUCUCUGAACUAAAAGAAACUUCUAUGUUGCAAAGCUUUUCUUUUUUCCAAAUAAUGUAACAGUUUAGAAAACUUGAGAGGUGGGGAAAUGUGCUUUCAUUCAGUUCUAUGUUUUUCUGGAACAGAGCAAUAAAAGUAAGAUUGACAUCUCGCUGACUGUUUAACUGCCAACAUUGCCACCUGCUAUCCUGAGGCAAUAAGCAGCCUUAUUGGCACCCUCGUGCCUGGAGAGAAAACCAAAAGAUGAUGAAUAGCCAGUCCCUAAAAUCAAACGUCAUGCACAGCAGUGGCUGGCACAAGAUGAAGUGCUUGCUAAGGAAAUAGAAUGGUGAAUUGAAGCUCUCAGACCAUUGAUCAAACUUGUUUGUAGCCAGCCUUCAGUGUUUUGUUUCUGGCUGCUAGAAUCUCACUACCCUUCUUGGUCUAAAGGAAGCCAAAGACCCUUCAUCUGUUUAUACAGACCAUAUGUAACUACAAACAGAACUGUACAAAGUUGUCCCUUUGGAGUCCAGGCAUUCAUGUACUUCCCCCAUAUGUAAGCCAAGAAAUGAAUGCAUUCACUGUUUUUUAUUCCCCUGUGAGAUCUUGCUACAGAUUUACUAGUGGUAUGACUUAACCUGUAUUUCCAACCUACAUAUGGAAGAAAGUAAUAAAGCAAGUAGAUAGUGUUAUUGUUCACAGAAAAUGAGACCUUUCUGACUCCAUUCAUGGAUGGAUAAAGACCUCUCCAUAGACUCAUCAAUUUCACUUUACAGACGUACCUGGAAAUUGAUUAGCCCUUGGAGUGGGGAGCUGCACCUUGCAAGGUACACCUCAGAAGAAGUGGGAAAUUUUAGUAUUCAUAGUUGUUAAUGACAACAAGCUAAUACUAGUAAGAGAGAAUGUGUCAUCAUGCCUGUGAUUGGCAGAAUUCUAAGAUGAGCCCCAAAUGACUCGUGCUUGUGUAGUCUCCUUCCCUUGAGCAUGGAUGGAUGAAAAUAUGAUGAGCUAUCACUCCUCUGAUUAUGUUAUAUUAUAUAGCAAAAUAGAUUUCUGAAGAGAUAAGAUUACUAAUUUUAAUGAUGGAGUUUAAUCACUGUAAACUUUGAUUUUAAUUACUGAAGAUUUUGUAGAUGUACUUAAAUUUACUGAUCAACUGCCUUUGAGUUAAUCAAAACAGAGAUGAUCUGGGUGGGUCUGACCUGAUCACCCGAGUCCUGUAAAUUUGACUCUAGAGGUCAAGGACAGAAGUCAGAAAUUGGAAGCAGCAGAGACCUUUUCUUGUUAGCCCUAAAUGGGCACCUGCCAUGUUGAGAGAGAGCCAACAUGUUGGGGAAUGGCAGAUAUCCUCUAGGAGCUCCUUCACAUUAAUCAAGAAGGGGCCUCCUAGACAUCAGUCAAGAACACAGGGACUUCAGUGUUACAAUCUCCGAACUGAAUUCUGGCAACACUCUGAAUGAGCCUGGAAAAGAACCACAAGCUUCAGGUGAGGCAGCAUCCCAAGGCAACACCUUGAUUUCAGCUAUGUGAGACUCUGAGCAGAGAACUCAGCUGCGUGGUGCUAGAUUCCUGACCCAUGGAAAUGGUGAGAUUAUAAAUAAGUGUUGUUUUACAGAUUGUGGCCAAUUGUCACACAGCAAUAGAAAUUAAUCCACAGUCCUAAAAACAAUUAUUUAAUGGGCAAUUUUAAAUAAUUUUUAUGAAGUGGCCAAGAAUAAACAUAUCUUUCAUAUGCUUCUCAUGGCAUUGUAAUUUCUCCUGUUAUGAAAUCAGCUUCAUGAGGUCUGGGAAUUUGCAUGUUUUUUUCAUUGUUGUAUCUUCAUGGCCAACAAUAGUGCCUGCACAUGGUA